UUAUCAAAAACAUGUCUUUUUGAGUUAUUUUUAAAGUCUGACCUGCCCACUGAAUUUUUUAAAUGGCCGCAGUAUUCUAACUGUGCAAAGGUAGCAUAAUCAUUAGUCUUUUAAUUGAAGGCUGGUAUGAACGGUUGGACGAGGUAUAAGCUGUUUCAUAUAAAUUUAUAAUAGAAUUUUAUAUUUUAGUCAAAAAGCUAAAAUAUUAUUAAAAGACGAGAAGACCCUAUAAAUCUUUAUAUUUUUUUUUAUUUAAAUUUUUUGGGUUUAUUUUAUUUUUAUAAUAGAAAAUAUUUUGUUGGGGUGAUGUUAAAAUUUAAUGAACUUUUAAUUAUAUAAAAUCAUUAAUUUAUGAGUUAUUGAUCCAUUAGUAGUGAUUAUAAGAUUAAGUUACUUUAGGGAUAACAGCGUAAUUUUUUUGGAGAGUUCAUAUCGAUAAAAAAGUUUGCGACCUCGAUGUUGGAUUAAGAUAUAAUUUUAGGUGUAGCCGCUUAAAUGUUAAGUCUGUUCGACUUUUAAAUUCUUACGUGAUCUGAGUUC
This 540-nucleotide ribosomal RNA is filed under the name Zeugodacus choristus. RNAcentral's name for it is "partial 16S ribosomal RNA". It matches the Rfam family "Bacterial large subunit ribosomal RNA", at positions 1804 to 2612 of the family's 2925-position model. Lineage: Eukaryota; Metazoa; Arthropoda; Insecta; Diptera; Tephritidae. The record is from RNAcentral.